Regulatory RNA element from Fervidicella metallireducens AeB, 108 nucleotides. It matches the Rfam family "PyrR binding site". Rfam says of the family: This family represents the PyrR binding site and terminator structure. This RNA structure is found upstream of a variety of genes involved in pyrimidine biosynthesis and transport. NCBI's taxonomy places the organism in Bacteria, Bacillati, Bacillota, Clostridia, Eubacteriales, Clostridiaceae. The record is from Rfam.
AAGGUCUUUAAAUCAGUCCAGUGAGGCUGGUAAGAAAAGUAGAUGGAUAUGUUUAUAUGUGUUAAUGCGUCUAUAACUUCUUACCAGCAUGGUAAGGAGUUUUUUUAU